RNA transcript from Rhinopithecus roxellana (golden snub-nosed monkey), 717 nucleotides. It is a transcript of the gene named ferritin heavy chain pseudogene, with no coding region annotated. The record is from RefSeq and is a predicted model, not a curated record. The transcript is spliced from 2 exons. NCBI's taxonomy places the organism in Eukaryota, Metazoa, Chordata, Mammalia, Primates, Cercopithecidae.
GUUCUUCGUCGAGAGUCGUCGGGGUUUCCUGCUUCAACAGUGCUUGGACGGAACCCGGCGCUCGUCCCCCAUCCCGGCCGGCCGCCCAUAGCCAGCCCUCCGUCACCUCUUCACCGCGUCCUCGGACCGCCCCAAGGCCCCCGCCGCCUGUCCUUAGCCUCCGCCAUGACGACCGCGUCCACCUCGCAGGUGCGCCAGAACUACCACCAGGACUCAGAGGCCGCCAUCAACCGCCAGAUCAACCUGGAGCUCUACGCUUCCUACGUUUACCUGUCCAUGUCUUACUACUUUGACGGCGAUGAUGUGGCUUUGAAGAACUUUGCCAAAUACUUUCUUCACCAAUCUCAUGAGGAAAGGGAACAUGCCGAGAAACUGAUGAAGCUGCAGAACCAACGAGGUGGCCGAAUCUUCCUUCAGGAUAUUAAGAAACCAGACUAUGACGACUGGGAGAGCGGGCUGAAUGCAAUGGAGUGUGCUUUACAUUUGGAAAAAAAUGUGAAUCAAUCACUACUGGAACUGCACAAACUGGCCACUGACAAAAAUGAUCCCCAUUUGUGUGACUUCACUGAGACACAUUACCUGAAUGAGCAGGUGAAAGCCAUCAAAGAAUUGGGUGACCACGUGACCAACUUGCGCAAGCUAGGAGCACCCGAAUCUGGCUUGGCAGAGUAUCUCUUUGACAAGCACACCCUGGGAGACGGUGAUGAUGAAAGCUAA